This 1179-nucleotide ribosomal RNA is filed under the name Triticum aestivum (bread wheat). RNAcentral describes it as "partial small subunit ribosomal RNA". Lineage: Eukaryota; Viridiplantae; Streptophyta; Magnoliopsida; Poales; Poaceae. The record is from RNAcentral.
AUGGCGACGGCGGUCGGACGCGAGGAGGGGGAGCCGGCGGCGGCGGCGUCGUGGAGGCUGCGCAUGGGCAGCAGCGACGCCAUGCGCGUGCCGGAGCGGCUGCACCGGCGUCCGCCCUUCUUCUCCAGGCUCUUGGGCGCCGCUUGCCCGUCCCACGGGAAACAAAGGAAAAUCGCAAAGUACUACGAGAAGCAGGAGAGUCUCCUGAAGGAUUUCAGCGAGAUGGAGAGCAUGAAUGAGCUCGGCUGCUUGGACCAGAACAGUGCUCCUACCGAGGAAGAGCUGCGGCAAUUGGCCAAGGGCGAAAAGCUGGCAAUCAACCUGUCGAACAUCAUCAACCUGGUCCUGUUCGUCGGGAAAGUCGUCGCCUCCGUCGAGACCCGGUCGAUGGCGGUGAUCGCGUCGACGCUGGACUCGCUGCUGGAUCUGCUCUCAGGGUUCAUCCUCUGGUUCACGGCGCACGCCAUGAAGAAGCCCAACAAGUAUAGCUACCCGAUCGGCAAGAGGCGCAUGCAGCCAGUGGGCAUCGUGGUUUUUGCGUCGGUGAUGGGGUGCCUGGGGUUCCAGGUGCUGAUCGAGUCGGGGCGGGAGCUGGUGACGCAGGAGCACACCACGUUCGACACCUGGAAGGAGAUGUGGAUGGUGGGCAGCAUGUCGUCCGUGGCCGUCGUCAAGUUCUUCCUCAUGCUCUACUGCCGGACCUUCAAGAACGAGAUCGUCCGGGCCUACGCGCAGGACCACUUCUUCGACGUCAUCACCAACUCCGUCGGCCUCGUCAGCGCCCUCCUCGCCGUCAAGUUCAAGUGGUGGAUGGACCCCGUCGGAGCCAUACUGAUCGCGCUGUACACGAUCACGACGUGGGCGCGGACGGUGCUGGAGAACGUGGGCACGCUCAUCGGGAGGUCGGCGCCGGCCGAGUACCUGACCAAGCUCACCUACCUCAUCUGGAACCACCACGAGGAGAUCCGGCACAUCGACACGGUGAGGGCAUACACCUUCGGGACGCACUACUUCGUGGAGGUGGACGUGGUGCUCCCCGGCGACAUGCCGCUCAGCCAGGCGCACGACAUCGGGGAGGCGCUGCAGGAGAAGCUGGAGCAGCUGCCCGAGGUGGAGCGCGCCUUCGUCCACGUCGACUUCGAGUUCACGCACCGCCCAGAGCACAAGGCCGACGUCUGA